Molecule: non-coding RNA, 137 nt
Filed under: Heterosigma akashiwo
Lineage: Eukaryota; Raphidophyceae; Chattonellales; Chattonellaceae
Source: RNAcentral
GUUGUUUAUUGCGUGUCUUUUUUUCUUUUCUUUUUCUUUUGUUGCUUUCUGUGUGUUUUUAGCAGUGGGCUUGAAGGAGGAGAGAAGAAAAGGCAAGAUAGAUGGAAUGACCGAGUUGUACAUUUUUUUUUUGUCUA